RNAcentral lists this transfer RNA (84 nucleotides) under Phycisphaeraceae bacterium. RNAcentral's name for it is "tRNA-Leu". It matches the Rfam family "tRNA". From Rfam's summary of the family: Transfer RNA (tRNA) molecules are approximately 80 nucleotides in length. The record is from RNAcentral. Lineage: Bacteria; Pseudomonadati; Planctomycetota; Phycisphaerae; Phycisphaerales; Phycisphaeraceae.
GCCCAGAUGGCGGAAUUGGCAGACGCGCCACCUUGAGGUGGUGGUCCCGGAAACGGGGUGGAGGUUCGAGUCCUCUUCUGGGCA